RNAcentral lists this ribosomal RNA (160 nucleotides) under uncultured bacterium. RNAcentral describes it as "partial 16S ribosomal RNA". It matches the Rfam family "Bacterial small subunit ribosomal RNA", at positions 355 to 507 of the family's 1533-position model. The record is from RNAcentral.
UGGGGAAUAUUGCACAAUGGGCGAAAGCCUGAUGCAGCCAUGCCGCGUGCGUGAAGAAGGCCUUCGGGUUGUAAAGCACUUUAGGCGAGGAGGAAAAGCGUACGGUUAAUAACCGUGCGCCGUGACGUUACUCGCAGAAUAAGCACCGGCUAACUCCGUG